ACACCACAGGAGCACAUCGGGUCGGCAGGUGUGAACUACAAGCUGUUAACCAGUGCAAAGAAGGAAGAAUGACUGAGGGAUGCCACUUGGGGCUUCCUGCAUUUGUUAGGUAAGGAGGGUACAUCUGAUUUGCAUCCAUGCAUCAACUGAGUGAUGGUAUAACCUCUCUUCCUGGUCCAAGCCGAGGAGGCUGCGUCAAUAGAGGCCCUUAAACAUUCCAUCCAGCUCAGUGUGAAAAUGUUGCCAUGGAGGUCCUGGCUCGGCCCCUCCAGUUGAGUCCCGUGGAGGCCCCUGCUUCGACGCUGCCCUCGGCCGGCUCGUCACGUUUGCGUAGUUUGGUGCUGAGGCGGAUGAUGCACUGGUCCCAGUCCUCCGGAAGGAGCAGCAUGAGAAAGCCCAAACAGAUGAUGGAGACGGCAAAGAGGCGCACCGUGUUGAAAUUAAUCUCACACGUGAAGAAGUCCACCACUGGAACACUUAGGACGAUGCCAAGGGAGAUAGACUUUGGAUAUGUUAUGGCGAUGCCAAAGUUGACCAGGAUGUUGAAAGCUGUUUGAAGAAGCAGAACGAGAGCAAAAGUAAUUAUGGUAAAACACGAUAAUAGAUCGCAGAGAUUCUUUUUUUUUUUACCUAAAAGCAGUGCUGCAACACCACAG
This is a long non-coding RNA of Syngnathus typhle (broad-nosed pipefish), 656 nucleotides long. RefSeq lists it as uncharacterized. The transcript has 3 exons. The record is from RefSeq and is a predicted model, not a curated record. NCBI's taxonomy places the organism in Eukaryota, Metazoa, Chordata, Actinopteri, Syngnathiformes, Syngnathidae.